This 245-nucleotide ribosomal RNA is filed under the name uncultured bacterium. RNAcentral describes it as "partial 16S ribosomal RNA". It matches the Rfam family "Bacterial small subunit ribosomal RNA", at positions 524 to 768 of the family's 1533-position model. The record is from RNAcentral.
UACGUAUGGGGCGAGCGUUGUUCGGAGUUAUUGGGCGUAAAGGGCGUGUAGGCGGCUCGACAAGUCGGGUGUGAAAUCGCAGGGCUCAACCCUGCGGGUGCGCUGGAAACUGUCGGGCUAGAGUUCCGGGGGGGAAGCUGGAAUUCCUGGUGUAGGAGUGAAAUCUGUAGAGAUCAGGAAGAACACCGGUGGCGAAGGCGAGCUUCUAUUCGAGGACUGACGCUGAGGCGCGAAAGCGUGGGGAG